This 460-nucleotide ribosomal RNA is filed under the name uncultured bacterium. RNAcentral's name for it is "partial 16S ribosomal RNA". It matches the Rfam family "Bacterial small subunit ribosomal RNA", at positions 338 to 795 of the family's 1533-position model. The record is from RNAcentral.
CCUACGGGUGGCUGCAGUGAGGAAUAUUGGUCAAUGGACGAGAGUCUGAACCAGCCAAGUAGCGUGAAGGAUGACUGCCCUAUGGGUUGUAAACUUCUUUUAUAUAGGAAUAAAAUGUUCCACGUGUGGGAUUUUGUAUGUACCAUAUGAAUAAGGAUCGGCUAACUCCGUGCCAGCAGCCGCGGUAAUACGGAGGAUCCGAUCGUUAUCCGGAUUUAUUGGGUUUAAAGGGAGCGUAGGUGGAUUGUUAAGUCAGUUGUGAAAGUUUGCGGCUCAACCGUAAAAUUGCAGUUGAAACUGGCAGUCUUGAGUACAGUAGAGGUGGGCGGAAUUCGUGGUGUAGCGGUGAAAUGCUUAGAUAUCACGAAGAACUCCGAUUGCGAAGGCAGUUCACUGGACUGCAACUGACACUGAGGCUCGAAAGUGUGGGUAUCAAACAGGAUUAGAUACCCGAGUAGUC